GCUCAUCAAGCUCAAGGUCGAGAAUGGGAAAGUGAUCAGCCACCAAGACUUGUGGCAUAAGCAGCCAUUAAAAUCGAGAGACACAGUGAAGCUCCCGCUGGUGGGACGAUUGGCCGAAUCGGUGAGACGAGGAAACAUGAU
Molecule: long non-coding RNA, 141 nt
Organism: Selaginella moellendorffii
Lineage: Eukaryota; Viridiplantae; Streptophyta; Lycopodiopsida; Selaginellales; Selaginellaceae
Exons: 3
Source: RefSeq, a predicted model, not a curated record